This 1023-nucleotide ribosomal RNA is filed under the name Staphylococcus aureus M0059. RNAcentral describes it as "bacterial SSU rRNA". It matches the Rfam family "Bacterial small subunit ribosomal RNA", at positions 8 to 1012 of the family's 1533-position model. The record is from RNAcentral. Lineage: Bacteria; Bacillati; Bacillota; Bacilli; Caryophanales; Staphylococcaceae. RNAcentral also lists the same sequence under 1 other name.
AGAGUUUGAUCCUGGCUCAGGAUGAACGCUGGCGGCGUGCCUAAUACAUGCAAGUCGAGCGAACGGACGAGAAGCUUGCUUCUCUGAUGUUAGCGGCGGACGGGUGAGUAACACGUGGAUAACCUACCUAUAAGACUGGGAUAACUUCGGGAAACCGGAGCUAAUACCGGAUAAUAUUUUGAACCGCAUGGUUCAAAAGUGAAAGACGGUCUUGCUGUCACUUAUAGAUGGAUCCGCGCUGCAUUAGCUAGUUGGUAAGGUAACGGCUUACCAAGGCAACGAUGCAUAGCCGACCUGAGAGGGUGAUCGGCCACACUGGAACUGAGACACGGUCCAGACUCCUACGGGAGGCAGCAGUAGGGGAUCUUCCGCAAUGGGCGAAAGCCUGACGGAGCAACGCCGCGUGAGUGAUGAAGGUCUUCGGAUCGUAAAACUCUGUUAUUAGGGAAGAACAUAUGUGUAAGUAACUGUGCACAUCUUGACGGUACCUAAUCAGAAAGCCACGGCUAACUACGUGCCAGCAGCCGCGGUAAUACGUAGGUGGCAAGCGUUAUCCGGAAUUAUUGGGCGUAAAGCGCGCGUAGGCGGUUUUUUAAGUCUGAUGUGAAAGCCCACGGCUCAACCGUGGAGGGUCAUUGGAAACUGGAAAACUUGAGUGCAGAAGAGGAAAGUGGAAUUCCAUGUGUAGCGGUGAAAUGCGCAGAGAUAUGGAGGAACACCAGUGGCGAAGGCGACUUUCUGGUCUGUAACUGACGCUGAUGUGCGAAAGCGUGGGGAUCAAACAGGAUUAGAUACCCUGGUAGUCCACGCCGUAAACGAUGAGUGCUAAGUGUUAGGGGGUUUCCGCCCCUUAGUGCUGCAGCUAACGCAUUAAGCACUCCGCCUGGGGAGUACGACCGCAAGGUUGAAACUCAAAGGAAUUGACGGGGACCCGCACAAGCGGUGGAGCAUGUGGUUUAAUUCGAAGCAACGCGAAGAACCUUACCAAAUCUUGACAUCCUUUGACAACUCUAGAGAUAGAGC